Zeugodacus cucurbitae (melon fly) is the source of this 1365-nucleotide long non-coding RNA. RefSeq lists it as uncharacterized. The record is from RefSeq and is a predicted model, not a curated record. The transcript has 3 exons. NCBI's taxonomy places the organism in Eukaryota, Metazoa, Arthropoda, Insecta, Diptera, Tephritidae.
GAGGAAAUUAUUGAGGAAAGGAUUACGAGAAGAUAUAUAAGAAAUGAAUUUAAUAUUAUGGAAUUAUCGAAAAAAAUAUAAUUUGUUAUGUACAUAUGUAUUAUGUUCGGUUAUAAACUGUUUUUGCAUUUGUAAUUAUAGCUUCACACAAAACUUUAGACUUUCUAAAGAAGCCUUUGAUUAUGUCUUAAGAGGCAUAACUGAAGAACUAAUGGUACCUAUAAGAUCCACGGCAGUAACUCCAGCUAUAAAACUUGCUGCUACUUUAAAAUUCCUUGGUCAAGGAAGCUAUCAACAUCAAAUAGGGCAAGACCGGUUUGCAGGGGUAGCACAGUCCACUACAUCUAAAUGUAUUGCAAAAGUGUUGAAUGCUAUUGAAAAAACAAUGUGUCCGAAACACAUAAAAUUUGAAAUGAGCUCACAAGAAAAACGUGAAGCUAAGAAUUAUUUUUAUUCAAAAUUUGGAUUACCAGGAAUAUUAGGUGCUGUUGAUGGAACUCACAUCCAGAUGUUUAGACCAAAAAAAGAUGAACAUCUCUUUUUUAAUCGAAAGCUAAAGCAUAGCGUCUAUGCUAUGGUGAUUUGUGACCAUAACAAGAAUGAAUGAUAGAAAGAAACAACCAAAGUUCUCGUGUUUAAACAAGUUUUGUUUUGAGCUAUAUCAUGGAUGCUUGUGAAGUAUUAUUUUGCAUGUUUUAUUUAAAUCAGUGAUCUGUAGCCUAAUUAAAGUGUAAAUUAUUGAAGCACGCAUUUUUAAAUAAGUAAAACGUAGACUAAAAGUUUUCUAAAGCCAAAAGAUGGAAUUGAAUACAGUAAUACUUCAUUGCAUUGUCAAUUUGUAAGCACCCAAUAGAAGCUACGCCAACAAUGGUCAACAUCAAGGGCGAAACCAUUGAAUACAUAUUUCAAACCUCAUACGGCGUUAUAGGUACGCAACCUAUGGCAGCAGCGUAGAACUUUCGAAUCGAUGGAAUAUGUGCUGCAAGCAAAUCCAGAACUAUGGAUGCAAACGCUGCUACAUCGAACACAAAUCAUUUACACACUAGAUAUUAGGUUUAAUGUCACUUUUUUAAGUGCAAUUAAACCUUUUGCUCAACACAAGCCCGGGAAGAAAUGAAACGACAUGGCUUAGGUGCUUUUGUAACCGUUUAUCAUCGCGACGUGUGUAAACUGGGUUUUGCCAAUGAGCUAGAGGGCAAAGCAGUUGCAGUAUUUUUAGAAUUACCGGCCCCUCAGUUGGCCGUGCCAUUAGCAGCUAAAACUCAGAAGUUAAAGGGUAAAUUUAAGUGAAUGUUUGUGAUCAUAGAAAUUUAAAAACUUCUUGUAUGUUCAAUUAGGAAGACUUUUUUGAUGCACUUGGUCCAA